Molecule: long non-coding RNA, 3617 nt
Organism: Heterocephalus glaber (naked mole-rat)
Lineage: Eukaryota; Metazoa; Chordata; Mammalia; Rodentia; Bathyergidae
Source: Ensembl
GCAUUCUUACUUUGCACCAGACACUGGUCGGACAAUUGAUAAUCAAAAGAAGGGCACAGUUCUCAAAGUUUAUGGUCUAGGCCAAAGGGUUAUCAGUGAAUUGUGUUUAGAUCAUUAUCUGACUACAGAUAAGAAAGAUCCAAUUUAGACAGGGUGUGGGAAUUGAGAAGAUCGAGGAGGAUCAUCCCAGAAGAAUUCUGGUAGGAAGAAGUCCCUGCAUUUGGUUUUCACCAAUGGGAAUGUGUACUGAGCACCUUCUUCCUCCCAGAGGCAGGAAACCAAUCCCAGGAUGACUCUGUUCAGCUACUUUGAUGUCCUACCAUUAGCUGACCAUGCUAGCAGCAACCAGCAAAGGUGGCUGUCCUACAAACAUAUCCUUUCAAAGUUCCUUCCCUGUAGAGCCUAGUUCCCUUCCAAAACUUAAAUGUUGGUAUGAGUUCCUGGCCAUUUAUUAACAUAUGUCAGGGACGACAAUAAAUACUUAACAACCAGAGAUAUAGAACAACAUGGCAAGCUACUAGACCCUUAACGAAAUCUCAGUGUGGCCACACAAGUCUAGGACAAGUCCAGUCCUCAUGUGUCUGCUUGGAAGCAUUCACGCCGACAACACAGAGGCAGUGUCUUUUUGUCUAUGAAAGCUUAUCAUCAUUUAUGUUCAAUGGAUACAUAUGAUUAUAUGUACUGUUGGGAAGAGAGGGAGAGUGGCUGGGUGGUCCCAGUAUUUAUCAUGGUCAAAUUGUUUAUUCAGUGUCAAUUAAAAUAGCAGACAUAAACAACUAGGAUGGAGAUUUAGAGCUACCUCGUAGCUGUUCCCAAGUUGCCAUGCUAAAGCAUGGCAUGAAACAGUUUUACUUGACAUUUUAGAGAAAAUCAUAGCUGCUUUUGUACAAAACAAGUGCCAGGAGGUUAACCACAGAAUCUCCCAAUUUAUUUCUCUCACAUCUUCAAGAACAUGAAAGAAUCUCACAAAUUGCAAAACUGUGGGACAUAAAUUUUCUUUUUGGGGUUGCUGUGAGAUGGGAUAAGAUUUGAAGCUUACACCCCAGUAGUCGGGAAGCCAAGGUUUAGGACAACUUCAAUUCUGUUGUGGGUGUUGUGUUGGGUCCUUUUCUACAUCUAUGGCUGUGUCUUUUGAAGAGGAAAUCCAUGAGGACAGGUCAGUGAUCCAAAGAGUCUCAUGUAUUGCCAGUUUUUCUCAUUUACAGCUCUUGUCAUUUUCCAAGUGACUGAUACACUGGCAUUACUGCCCCUUCUCUUCCUCUAACCAGUUUAACUUGACAGAGACCUUCAAUGAAGCUUGAAAGAUCACAGGUUCAGUCUGAAGUCUGAAGUUGUUGGCAGUUGACACCAUCAUAGAAAAUCCUUGUCACUGGUAAUCUCUGGGGUACAUGAUCCAAGAGCUAGUGGACCCCUACCCCCAUAUCCUCUGAUAUGAAGCAGAAAGGGAAGAUUUUCCUGGCUACUGGAUCUAGAACUAUUCCAAGAAUUAGCUGCUUAUUCUUGUCUUGGAAUGAUUCAAGUACUGUUCCUGGCUUAUGAAUGCACCCUGUUUGGGGGAGACUUUCUUAAGAGCACUUUUCCAAAUAAAUUGUCUGUUUUUUACAUUUCACUGAAUAAAGUCAGCACUUGUGUACUCUAACAUGCUGUAUAAUAUGGUGGUAAAAAGCUUGCUAUAUGGAAUUAGACAACCCUGAAUGUGAAUUCAGUUUCCCCCAUAUUAACUGUGUGGGCUUAGGUUAGCUUCUUCAACAACCCAAGUCUUGUCUUUGACUUUUGUAAAUGGGUAUAAUAAUAGUACCUCCUUGAUAAAGUUGUAGAAUGUAUGAGUAUUCAAUUCAUGGAAGUUAAAAUAUGAGCAUAGAUUGAGAGCACUCUUAAGUACUCAUGAAUGCUGUGAGAAUUAAGGAAGUUUAGUUGUUAUAAUCAACUAGGUCCCAUGAAGCACAAGAUGAUUUUGGAUUGGGAGUAAGGAUAAAGGAGUGAUUGACUUUUUUUUCAUUUGAAAAAAAUGCAUAUUUUGCAGUUGAAAAAAUAUUUCAUGAACUAGAUUGAAACUUCUGGCACGCAGUGUGAGCCAGCUCAGCUGAAUGUCUGUUACAUGGGGCUAGGCAGUGAGGGAUGCUUUACAAAGCUCUUCUGUGUCAAGGUUGAGAAUCAGCCAUACGAUACUCCCAGACAUACCUUCCUAACCCACAUGACUCAUUGCUGUGCCAAGCAUGGACAGUCUGUAUAUUUCUCUUUCCUGUUAUUACACAUUCCGUGCUGAUUUUAGUGUAGAAUGAACAUUUUAAUAACCUACGUGUUGAAAAUUGAAUUUAGUGAUUCAAACUUUUAGGGACUCCUUUCUAAUAGAGAGAAUGAGAUGAGAGAGAGAGAGGAGAGAGAGAGAGAGAGAGAGAGAGAGAGAGAGAGCACCGGAGCUACUUAGCAGUCUUAGAAGCAGUCUCUGAGCAUCCAUUGUUGGUGAUAAUCCACCUCAGAAGGAAGGCAUGGCCACCUCAGGAACAGGUAACUGUGUGCAUAGGUAAACCAGAGAACCACUGAAUAUAUAUUUAAUACUUGCUGAAGAGUAUCAAUUUAGAACAAGCAUGAAGAGUUAGAGAAGUUUGGUUGUGUUGAGUUUAGCAGUGUAAAAAACCUAAUAUUUUACAGAAACAGAUCCUGACUUUGUGACAAAGGCUUUGUAGAUGAAGAAGGGUGUCAUUUGGACCUUUAAGAGUGGAACUGUAUGAUUUGAUGGGGGAAGACAUGGUUCUUUGGGGCUGUUAGCAGAAUAAAAUACCCUCUAAGGCAGCACCUACCUUGAAGGCAACAGCCAUGCAGAGUCCAAGUAAAAGAUUUCACAGCAGCUCUGAGAGUGACGGGUGAAGGUGGCAUGGAGGUGAACGUGGCCUUGGUAGAGGGCAGAGACUUCAUCAUGUGAAUUGAGAACUACAGAGGUAAGAGCAAAAAACAAGCAUGUGAGUGAGAAGUGUUGAGUACGUAUAUGUUGAGUAUGAGAAGUGGUGAGUAUGAAUUUGAGGGAGAAUGAGAAUUCAGUGAAGGUGAGAGAAGACCUCUACAGUAUUUCCUUGGUAUAUGUUUUGUUGUGUCUAUUGCAGAUAUACAGCAUGUUAGGAUGAUGUACAUCAUGAAAUGGUUAGUACAGUCAAGUACAUUUUCCUAUCCAUGACUUUCCAUUAUUAAUCUUUUUUUUUUUUUUAGGUAAGACCACUUAGAACUACUCACUUUCCCAAUUUCUAGUCGACACCACAAUAUGAUUAAUUAGAGUUCUCCUGUUGUGCAUUAGCUUUCUAGAUGGAUUUGUCCUGUGUAUCUGCAAGUUUGUACCCUUUGACCUACCAUCUCCCAGCUCCUCCUCCUCCCCACAUCUGCUCCAGUCUUCACCUUCAUCUUGGACGUUGUUUCCUGGCUUCCAGUGCAGACCCUGCAGCCUCCUGAUAUGGACUCACCUGGGAUGCCACAGCGAGCUCCAUGACUUUGACUGUGUCCUUCCGACCUCCAGUGCAUAGACAGCCCCUUUGCACUCUUCCACACCUGACACUGUGGGCAGCCAUUGGAAGCCAAUCUUGUAAAUUCUUAUAUAUUUGUAUAUCUUGCAUUAAAUCUGUUUCUCU